RNAcentral lists this ribosomal RNA (1458 nucleotides) under metagenome. Its description in RNAcentral is "bacterial SSU rRNA". It matches the Rfam family "Bacterial small subunit ribosomal RNA". The record is from RNAcentral.
CUGGCGGCAUGCCUUACACAUGCAAGUCGAACGGUAACGCGGGGCAACCUGGCGACGAGUGGCGAACGGGUGAGUAACGCAUCGGAACGUGCCCAGUAGUGGGGGAUAGCCCGGCGAAAGCCGGAUUAAUACCGCAUACGACCUACGGGUGAAAGAGGGGGAUCGCAAGACCUCUCGCUAUUGGAGCGGCCGAUGUCAGAUUAGGUUGUUGGUGGGGUAAAGGCCUACCAAGCCGACGAUCUGUAGCUGGUCUGAGAGGACGACCAGCCACACUGGGACUGAGACACGGCCCAGACUCCUACGGGAGGCAGCAGUGGGGAAUUUUGGACAAUGGGCGCAAGCCUGAUCCAGCCAUGCCGCGUGCGGGAAGAAGGCCUUCGGGUUGUAACCGCUUUUGUCAGGGAAGAAACGCUCCGAAUUAAUACCUCGGGGUAAUGACGGUACCUGAAGAAUAAGCACCGGCUAACUACGUGCCAGCAGCCGCGGUAAUACGUAGGGUGCAAGCGUUAAUCGGAAUUACUGGGCGCAAAGCGUGCGCAGGCGGUUGUGCAAGACAGAUGUGAAAUCCCCGGGCUCAACCUGGGAACUGCAUUUGGGACUGCACAGCUAGAGUACGGUAGAGGGGGAUGGAAUUCCGCGUGUAGCAGUGAAAUGCGUAGAUAUGCGGAGGAACACCGAUGGCGAAGGCAAUCCCCUGGACCUGUACUGACGCUCAUGCACGAAAGCGUGGGGAGCAAACAGGAUUAGAUACCCAGGUAGUCCACGCCCUAAACGAUGUCAACUGGUUGUUGGACGGCUUGCUGUUCAGUAACGAAGCUAACGCGUGAAGUUGACCGCCUGGGGAGUACGGCCGCAAGAUUGAAACUCAAAGGAAUUGACGGGGACCCGCACAAGCGGUGGAUGAUGUGGUUUAAUUCGAUGCAACGCGAAAAACCUUACCUACCCUUGACAUGUCUGGAAUCCUGAAGAGAUUUAGGAGUGCUCGAAAGAGAACCAGAACACAGGUGCUGCAUGGCCGUCGUCAGCUCGUGUCGUGAGAUGUUGGGUUAAGUCCCGCAACGAGCGCAACCCUUGUCAUUAGUUGCUACGAAAGGGCACUCUAAUGAGACUGCCGGUGACAAACCGGAGGGAGGUGGGGAUGACGUCAGGUCCUCAUGGCCCUUAUGGGUAGGGCUACACACGUCAUACAAUGGCCGGUACAGAGGGCUGCCAACCCGCGAGGGGGAGCUAAUCCCAGAAAACCGGUCGUAGUCCGGAUCGCAGUCUGCAACUCGACUGCGUGAAGUCGGAAUCGCUAGUAAUCGCGGAUCAGCUUGCCGCGGUGAAUACGUUCCCGGGUCUUGUACACACCGCCCGUCACACCAUGGGAGCGGGUUCUGCCAGAAGUAGUUAGCCUAACCGCAAGGAGGGCGAUUACCACGGCAGGGUUCGUGACUGGGGUGAAGUCGUAACAAGGUA